This 75-nucleotide transfer RNA is filed under the name Candidatus Collierbacteria bacterium CG17_big_fil_post_rev_8_21_14_2_50_45_7. Its description in RNAcentral is "tRNA-Cys". It matches the Rfam family "tRNA". From Rfam's summary of the family: Transfer RNA (tRNA) molecules are approximately 80 nucleotides in length. The record is from RNAcentral. Lineage: Bacteria; Candidatus Collieribacteriota.
GGCGCGAUGGCGAAGUGGUAACGCAGGAGUCUGCAAAACUCUCAUGCGAGGGUCCGAUUCCCUCUUGCGCCUCAA